RNAcentral lists this ribosomal RNA (513 nucleotides) under uncultured bacterium. RNAcentral describes it as "partial 16S ribosomal RNA". It matches the Rfam family "Bacterial small subunit ribosomal RNA", at positions 28 to 523 of the family's 1533-position model. The record is from RNAcentral.
GAUGAACACUGGCGGCGUGCCUAAUACAUGCAAGUCGAACGCGCAGCGAAAGGUGCUUGCACCUUUCAAGCGAGUGGCGAACGGGUGAGUAACACGUGGAUAACCUGCCUCAAGGCUGGGGAUAACAUUUGGAAACAGAUGCUAAUACCGAAUAAAACUUAGUAUCGCAUGAUACAAAGUUAAAAGGCGCUACGGCGUCACCUAGAGAUGGAUCCGCGGUGCAUUAGUUAGUUGGUGGGGUAAAGGCUUACCAAGACGAUGAUGCAUAGCCGCGUGGAGAGGCUGAUCUGCCACAUUGGGACUGAGACACGGCCCCAACUCCUACCGGAGGCUGAAGUAGGGAAUCUUCAACAAUGGGCGCAAGCCUGAUGGAGCAACGCCGCGUGUGUGAUGAAGGCUUUAGGGUCGUAAAGCACUGUUGUAUGGGAAGAAAUGCUAAAAUAGGGAAUGAUUUUAGUUUGACGGUACCAUACCAGAAAGGGACGGCUAAAUACGUGCCAGCCGCCGCGGUAA